AUUGAACGCUGGGGGCGUGCUUAACACAUGCAAGUCGAACGGAGUGGCGAACGGGUGAGUAACACGUGGGUGACCUGCCCGGCACUCCGGGAUAAGCCCGGGAAACUGGGUCCAAUACAGGUUAGUGUGGGAUGGGCCCGCGGCCUAUAGGCUUGUCGGGGGGGUAAUGGCCGACCAAGGCGGCGACGGGUAGCCGGCCUGAGAGGGUGGACGGCCACAUUGGGACUUGGAGACGGGCCAGACUCCUACGGGAGGCAGCGGUGGGGAAUAUUGCACAAUGAGCGGAAGCCUGAUGACGCGACGCCGCGUGGGGGAGGACGGCCUUCGGGUUGUAAACUCCUUUCACCAGCGACGCGGUAGAUGGAGAAGAAGCACCGGCUAACUACGUGCCAGCAGCCGCGGUAAUUC
RNAcentral lists this ribosomal RNA (408 nucleotides) under uncultured bacterium. Its description in RNAcentral is "partial 16S ribosomal RNA". It matches the Rfam family "Bacterial small subunit ribosomal RNA", at positions 28 to 526 of the family's 1533-position model. The record is from RNAcentral.